GACAGAGGUGCCAAGCGUUAGGCGGAAUCACUGGGCUUAAAGCGCGUGUAGGUGGCGGCCUAAGUACCUUGUGAAAUCCCACGGCUCAACCGUGGAACUGCUUGGUAUACUGGGUCGCUUGAGUCAUCCAGGGGCAACUGGAACAAGCGGUGGAGCGGUGAAAUGCGUAGAUAUCGCUUGGAACGCCAAAGGUGAAAACAGGUUGCUGGGGAUGUUCUGACACUGAGACGCGAAAGCAUGGGGAGCGAACAGG
This 253-nucleotide ribosomal RNA is filed under the name uncultured bacterium. Its description in RNAcentral is "partial 16S ribosomal RNA". It matches the Rfam family "Bacterial small subunit ribosomal RNA", at positions 524 to 776 of the family's 1533-position model. The record is from RNAcentral.